RNAcentral lists this ribosomal RNA (544 nucleotides) under Exserohilum sp. RL-3. Its description in RNAcentral is "eukaryotic LSU rRNA". The stretch from base 190 to 343 matches the Rfam family "5.8S ribosomal RNA". The record is from RNAcentral. Lineage: Eukaryota; Fungi; Ascomycota; Dothideomycetes; Pleosporales; Pleosporaceae.
AGUCUAGUGACAUUACCACAAAUAUGAGGGUGUGGUUUGCUGGCAACAGCGUCCGCCCCAAGUAUUUUUCACCCAUGUCUUUUGCGCACUUUUUGUUUCCUGGGCGAGUUCGCUCGCCACCAGGACCCAACCAUAAACCUUUUUUUAUGCAGUUGCAAUCAGCGUCAGUAUAAUAAUUCAAUUUAUUAAAACUUUCAACAACGGAUCUCUUGGUUCUGGCAUCGAUGAAGAACGCAGCGAAAUGCGAUACGUAGUGUGAAUUGCAGAAUUCAGUGAAUCAUCGAAUCUUUGAACGCACAUUGCGCCCUUUGGUAUUCCAAAGGGCAUGCCUGUUCGAGCGUCAUUUGUACCCUCAAGCUUUGCUUGGUGUUGGGCGUCUUUUUGUCUCUCCCCUUGUUGGGGGAGACUCGCCUAAAACAAAUGGGGGCCGACAAAACCCCGGGGGAGAAUCCGGGAAACAUUGUUUUCGAAGACAAAUCCCAAUUUGAACCCCGGACCCGGUAGGGGUCCCGGGUAAAUUCACCAACGUUAACCGAAAGGAAAA